UAAAACAGUAUCUAAUACACUCACCAAGGACAUCAUCUGUGCAUAUAAAUACAUUGCUAUCUGUUGAAAUGUGAAAAUCAUGUGUCAAUAAUAAAUGACUUUAUUAAUGAUCACCUGUAAGAAACACGUGACACUCUUCCUGACUUAAGGGUCUGGGACUAGAAAUUGUCAUGUCUGGGUUGUGUACUUUCAGAUUCCCAGAUUGCAGCCAUGUAGGGCUGCUAUAGUCUUCCUGUAUGUGUCCACUCUGUCCCUUUUUACACAUGGCUUCUGGAAAUCCUAUUGGCAUUCAUCUGUUUUAUGACACCAUUCCCACUUUCAACCAAUUAUCACCAGGUAGAGUUUUGAGAUUACCACAUGGGACCAAAUGUGCCUUAGUGCUGAGCAUCUUUGAUCCUGCAUAGACGUGAUAUUUUUACUGUGAAACCUAACAACGUGAUCUCUCAUCCCUUUAUCCAGAUCCUACUCUUGUUUUGUCCCCAUCCCUCUAUCCAGAUCCUACUCCUGUUCUGUUCCUGACCUGAAGAUGUCAGGUAAUAUUCUCAAACCUUGGCUCACAGACCAUCAGAGCUGUCCAGGUAUUAAAGGACCUUUCAUUGGUGGAGCCACAAAGGAGGUCAGGAGCACCAUCCGCAGACAUAAAGAUGUCACUCUCCUGACCCAAGCGCAGUUCCAACUUUUAAGCUCUCUUGAGCAGAAUAUUUACAUCAAUAAUAAAAUUCCCUGGAAAUCUUACCUUGAGCUGAAGACCUAUUAGCUAAAAGCAGAAGACCUGCUAAAUGAAGGCCUCACAGAGGAAGCGCUUGUGAUGUAUCACAAAUUUUCAACACUCUUUAUGGAGAAACUCAGACAAGGCCCAAAUAAGUGUCUUUCAGCUCGAAUAAGAUCCAAAAUCAACAAGACUCUAAAUAACGUUUUUGAAAAAGCUGAGAGCCUAAAAUUCACACUCCGAAGACAUCAUCCUAAGGAGUUCGAAGGCUACCUGGCAGAUAAG
Non-coding RNA from Peromyscus maniculatus bairdii (prairie deer mouse), 994 nucleotides. The record is from RefSeq and is a predicted model, not a curated record. Lineage: Eukaryota; Metazoa; Chordata; Mammalia; Rodentia; Cricetidae.